This 259-nucleotide ribosomal RNA is filed under the name uncultured prokaryote. RNAcentral describes it as "partial 16S ribosomal RNA". It matches the Rfam family "Bacterial small subunit ribosomal RNA", at positions 524 to 782 of the family's 1533-position model. The record is from RNAcentral.
UACGGAGGGUGCAAGCGUUAUCCGGAAUCACUGGGCGUAAAGGGCGCGUAGGUGGUCUGUUAAGUCUGGCGUUAAAGCCUGGGGCUCAACCCCAGAUCAGCGUUGGAUACUGGCAGGCUAGACGGUUGGAGAGGCGAGUGGAAUUACCAGUGUAGCGGUGGAAUGCGUAGAUACUGGUAGGAACACCCAUUGCGAAGGCAGCUUGCUGGGCCAUUACUGACGCUGAUGCACGAAAGCGUGGGGAGCGAACAGGAUUAGA